Molecule: ribosomal RNA, 1509 nt
Filed under: Triticum aestivum (bread wheat)
Lineage: Eukaryota; Viridiplantae; Streptophyta; Magnoliopsida; Poales; Poaceae
Description: partial small subunit ribosomal RNA
Source: RNAcentral
AUGGCUGGUUGGAGAGGAAAACUACUUUCCUACUCAGCCAGACUAACUCUGAUCAAGGACAAGUUUGACCUUAUUGAUGUUAAGCAUGGAAAAUAUAUCAUCCAGUUAGACCUAUUGGAUAAAAACAUGAAAUGCUGCCGGUCCCUGAUGGUAGUAUAUGGAGCGGCUCAGGAUGAGAAUAAGCCCGAGUUUAUUGCUGAAUUAUCUCAUAUGUGCCAUACCACUCGUAUCCCGUACUUAGUGGGUGGGGAUUUCAAUAUACUUCGUCACAGCGGUGAGAAGAAUAAAAGGACGCCCAUGUCUCAUUUCUCGGAUGUGUUUAAUUCUGUCAUCCAUUUGCUUGGGCUUUGGGAGAUCUAUAUGAAUGGAGGGGUAUACACGUGGUCGAACAAGCAGGAGAAUCCCACUCUGGAGAAGCUGGAUAGAGUUUUGAUGUCACCAGAUUGGGAAGACUUAUAUCCCCUUGUCUCGGUUAGCAAACUAGUUAAGGACCUAUCUGAUCACAACCCCCUGUUAUUGGAUGGGGGGCGGGCUGCAGCUAGAGCACCAGGGAGUACGUGCUUUAGAUUUGAUAACAACUGGCUUAAUAAUCCAGCCUUUCUACCUUUGGUUGCUGAUAUUUGGUCGAAACCUGUGUAUACUGAUGAUCCCAUAAAUACCCUGAAUAUUAAACUGAAAAGAGUUAAGAAGUUUUUUAAAGGGUGGGGUUCUAAUAUAUUUGGGAACAACAAAAUUAAGAGAAAAAUUAUCAGACUUGAAUUGCAAGAAUUGGAAAAGCUUGAGGAAAUUGUUGGGCUGUGUGGGGAGGCUUAUACCAGAAAGCUGGAUAUAUUGAAUGAACUAAAUAAUAUGUAUGUGGAGGAAGAACUUUUUUGGCACCAAUUCUCUAAUGAGAGAUGGUUGUUGAAAGGAGACAAUAAUACUGGUUUUUUCCAUAAAGUGGCCAAUGGGAGACGUAGGAAACAUUCGAUGGUCUCACUUAAGUGUGGAGCUACUGUUAUAGAAGGGACAAAAAAUCUCUUAGCUCAUGCUACUGAAUACUAUAAAGAUCUCUUUGGACCAGCCCCUGGUAAUCUAUGUCAUAUAGAUGAAAACCUUUGGUCACAAGAGGAAAAAAUUACUCCGGAAGACAAUGAUGACUUGACUCGACCUUUUUCUAUUGAUGAAAUUAAAAAGGCCCUUUUUGAUAUGAAAUCUAACCAUGCCCCUGGACCGGAUAAUAUACCCGUUGAAUUCUAUCAACAUUGUUGGGAUGUAGUAGCCCCGGACUUAUUGGCCUUAUUUGAGUGGUUUUAUGAAGGAAGAUUGGAUGUGCAAAGGCUGAAUUAUGGCAUUAUUAUUCUUUUGCCGAAAUCUGCUGACCUAGUAAGAUCCAGCAAUAUAGGCCAAUAUGUUUGCUUCGUUGUCCAUACAAGCUUAUUACCAAGGUUAUGGACAUUAGGGCCAGUAAAUAUGCUUAUAAGCUAUUCAGCAUUCAGCAAAACGCGUUCAUUAAAGGGAGGCAUAUAG